UAGAGUUUGAUCCUGGCUCAGAACGAACGCUGGCGGCAUGCCUAACACAUGCAGGUCGAACGAACCCUUCGGGGUUAGUGGCGCACGGGUGCGUAACGCGUGGGAAUCUGCCCUUUGCUUCGGAAUAACAGUUAGAAAUGACUGCUAAUACCGGAUGAUGUCUUCGGACCAAAGAUUUAUCGGCAAAGGAUGAGCCCGCGUAGGAUUAGGUAGUUGGUGGGGUAAAGGCCUACCAAGCCGACGAUCCUUAGCUGGUCUGAGAGGAUGAUCAGCCACACUGGGACUGAGACACGGCCCAGACUCCUACGGGAGGCAGCAGUGGGGAAUAUUGGACAAUGGACGCAAGUCUGAUCCAGCAAUGCCGCAUGAGUGAUGAAGGCCUUAGGGUUGUAAAGCUCUUUUACCAGGGAUGAUAAUGACAGUACCUGGAGAAUAAGCUCCGGCUAACUCCGUGCCAGCAGCCGCGGUAAUACAGAGGGAGCUAGCGUUGUUCGGAAUUACUGGGCGUAAAGCGCACGUAGGCGGUUACUCAAGUCAGAGGUGAAAGCCCGGGGCUCAACCCCAGGACUGCCUUUGAAACUAGGUAACUA
This 590-nucleotide ribosomal RNA is filed under the name uncultured bacterium. RNAcentral's name for it is "bacterial SSU rRNA". It matches the Rfam family "Bacterial small subunit ribosomal RNA", at positions 1 to 643 of the family's 1533-position model. The record is from RNAcentral.